AGGGCACCACCAGGAGUGGAGCCUGCGGCUUAAUUUGACUCAACACGGGAAAUCUCACCAGGCCCGGACACCGGAAGGAUUGACAGAUUGAGAGCUCUUUCUUGAUUCGGUGGGUGGUGGUGCAUGGCCGUUCUUAGUUGGUGGAGCGAUUUGUCUGGUUAAUUCCGAUAACGAACGAGACUCUGGCCUACUAACUAGACGUUAGAUCCCUUUGUGGGUCUAUCGCAGCUUCUUAGAGGGACGGGCGGCGUUUAGCCGCACGAGAUUGAGCAAUAACAGGUCUGUGAUGCCCUUAGAUGUUCUGGGCUGCACGCGCGCUACACUGAAGGAAUCAGCGUGUGUUCCCUGUCCGAAAGGACUGGGAAACCCGUUGAACCCCCUUCGUGAUGGGGAUUGGGGAUUGCAAUUAUUCCCCAUGAACGAGGAAUUCCCAGUAGGCGCGAGUCAUAAGCUUGCGUCGAUUACGUCCCUGCCCUUUGUACACACCGCCCGUCGCUACUACCGAUCGAGUGAUUUAGU
This 519-nucleotide ribosomal RNA is filed under the name uncultured eukaryote. RNAcentral describes it as "SSU rRNA". It matches the Rfam family "Eukaryotic small subunit ribosomal RNA", at positions 1161 to 1702 of the family's 1831-position model. The record is from RNAcentral.